This 122-nucleotide ribosomal RNA is filed under the name Amphilophus citrinellus (Midas cichlid). Lineage: Eukaryota; Metazoa; Chordata; Actinopteri; Cichliformes; Cichlidae. The record is from RNAcentral.
GCUUACGGCCACACCACCCUGAACACGCCCGAUCUCGUCUGAUCUCGGAMGCUAAGCAGGGUCGGGCCUGGUCAGUACUUGGAUGGGAGACCGCCUGGGAAUACCAGGUGCUGUAAGCUUUU